RNAcentral lists this ribosomal RNA (481 nucleotides) under uncultured bacterium. Its description in RNAcentral is "partial 16S ribosomal RNA". It matches the Rfam family "Bacterial small subunit ribosomal RNA", at positions 28 to 507 of the family's 1533-position model. The record is from RNAcentral.
GAUGAACGCUGGCGGCGUGCUUAACACAUGCAAGUCGAACGAAGCACUUUAUUUGAUUUCCUUCGGGACUGAUUAUUUUGUGACUGAGUGGCGGACGGGUGAGUAACGCGUGGGUAACCUGCCUUGUACAGGGGGAUAACAGUUGGAAACGGCUGCUAAUACCGCAUAAGCGCACAGCAUCGCAUGAUGCAGUUUGAAAAACUCCGGUGGUAUAAGAUGGACCCGCGUUGGAUUAGCUAGUUGGUGAGGUAACGGCCCACCAAGGCGACGAUCCAUAGACGACCUGAGAGGGUGACCGGCCACAUUGGGACUGAGACACGGCCCAAACUCCUACGGGAGGCAGCAGUGGGGAAUAUUGCAAAAUGGGCGAAAGCCUGAUGCAGCGACGCCGCGUGAGCGAAGAAGUAUUUCGGUAUGUAAAGCUCUAUCAGCAGGGAAGAUAAUGACGGUACCUGACUAAGAAGCACCGGCUAAAUACGUG